UAACAACUGGACAAAUGCUGCCAUUUGGUUCUUUGAAUGAGACAGUUAAGUCCAUGGGUUGUAAACUGUUGUCAUGGGUUGUCUUCCAUGGGAGCCUCUUUGGUCCAGGCCUCGGCCAUGGCAUCCCUCUCCUCCCGGGCCAGGCUGGUGGUCUCAGGGUGGCAUUCCUGGAUGUGGCGGCGGAAGCUGCUCACCUUGGCCAUGGGCAGGGCCUGGGAGCACACCAUGCAGAAGGUGCCACGACCCUGGGGUCCGUAGGCCACCAUGUAGUCCAGGCGCAGCCGCCAGGGGAAGCCCCCACGGAGACGCCUCUUCCUGGGUUGGUGGAGAGGGAGAGGGGGUAUGGGAGAGGUCAUCUCUGGAGCUCCACCAACGCCAACACCCACGUCCUGCAUCUCGGAUAACGCCUCAUCGUUGUCCUCUGCAUACGUGUCUGAGCCGAUCUGAAUGGUCUCCAGGUCUUCAGAGAAGUCCACCCCAGCAUCUCUCUCGUCUUUGGUGUUGGGCUCAGAUUUGAUGAAGUCGUUUAGAGGGUCGGAUACUGAUAUGGAGGGAUGGGGUGGGGUUGAGGAAUGAGAGUUUAGUAAGGGAUAUAAACACUGAGAAUACAAAACAUUAAGAACACCUGCUCUUUCCAUGACAUUGACUGACCAGGUGAAUCCAGGUGAAAGCUAUGAUCCCCUACUAAUGCCACUUGUUAAAUCCACUUCAAUCAGUGUAGAUAAAGGGAGGAGACAGGUUAAAGAAGGAUGUUUAAGCCUUGAGACAGUUGAGACAUGGAUUGUGUAUGUGUGCCAUUCAGAGGGUGAAUGGGCAAGACAAAAUAUUUAGGUGGUUUUGAACAAGGUAUGGUAGUAGGUGCCAGGUGCACCGGUUUGUGUCCAGAACUGCAAGGCUGCUGGGUUUUUCAUGCUCAACAGUUUCCUGUGUAUCAAUAAUGCUCCACCGCCCAAAGGACAUCCAGCCAAUUUGACACAACUGUGGGAAGUAUUGGAGUCAACAUGGGCCAGCAUCCCUGUGGAACACUUUCAACACCUUGUAGAGUCCCUGCCCCGAUGAAUUGAGGCUGUUCUGAGGGCAACUCAAUAUUUAUUUUACCUUUAUUUAAACUAGGCAAGUCAGUUGAGAACAAAUUCUUAUUCUCAAUGACGGCCUAGGAACAGCAAGUUAACUGCCUUUUUCAUGGGCAGGAUGGCAGAUUUGUACCUUGUCAGCUCGGGGAUUCGAUCUUGCAACUUUUCGGUUACAAGUCCAACUCUUUAACCACUAGGCUACCUGCCGCUCCAUAUGAGGAAGAGGUUCCUAAUGUUUGGUAUGCUCAGUGUAUAUUCAAGGAUAUAAAUGGCUAUUAAUCAGUGUAUCAAUUGUUAUCAGAACAAAAGCCAUUUUAGAUCAGUGCUGCAGAACAAAUCUAUGUAACUGGUUAACCUUUGUACACAGAGACAUACAAAUGUAACAAAAAUAAAAUCAGUCCUACUCACUUCAAAACACACACAUACAGAAGCUGAUAAAACGUCCGAAAGCCACAGUGACUGAAAUGAAAAGGCUGCAAUGCUAGCUCACCAUUAAAAACACAUUUUAUUCAAGCAACUAUUAAAAGCUUGACGUUUCGGCCUUCAUCAUAACAAUGACAAAGAGGAAGCCACAGUUACAGAAGCCACAGCUCCCUUCCCGGUCCUGUUACCACCCCCACGUCCUACCUCCCUCAGUCUCACCAUGUGUCUGGGCCCAAGUCUGCAGGAUGCAGUGCUUCUCCUCCGAGCUGUAGACCAGCGACUGGGGGUGAAUGUCAAGCAUGUGGCUCUUGAUGUGGUCCAGGUGGAGCGAGGGCAGCGGGCGGCCGCACACCAUGCACACCAGCCUGCCCUCCUCCGCCUGGUACUCCAUGAGGAACUCCUGUCGGAACCAGGCGUGGAGCGAGUCGUUCAGGUAGCGCUCCAGGGUCUUGGCAGAGGGCCCGGGGAGGUCUUCCUGCUGGAGGGGGACUGAGGGAGGGGGUGAUGGGGUCGGAGACCGGGGCUGGAGUUUGGGGGACACCAUACCACCAGGUUUUCCUAUGAGAGGUAAAGUGGAGAGGGGAUAUGCAGUUUAAAUGUUAACGUAAAUCAAAAAAUAUAGUUUGACAAUCACAUAAAAAUGUAAUACAUAA
Long non-coding RNA from Oncorhynchus nerka (sockeye salmon), 2149 nucleotides. RefSeq lists it as uncharacterized. The record is from RefSeq and is a predicted model, not a curated record. The transcript is spliced from 2 exons. Lineage: Eukaryota; Metazoa; Chordata; Actinopteri; Salmoniformes; Salmonidae.